CGAUCUGGUGUAUUUCCACCUGCAUGUGAAGUGAAAUAGCAGGUUAACGUCAAAUUCCGGGGCUUGUGUAAAAGUCACCCUCUUAACAGCAACCACAAUGCUACUGCUUCCUGUUCUUCCAUUUUCUUUCCUGUUCAAUUGCUUGAAACCCUCAAACAACAAGUUCUGAUUCUACAGUAUUCCUGUAAUUCCUUUCUCUGUGUAUUUACCUACUUUUAUCUUUCAAUGUGCAUUUCCAUCUUGGCACCAUAACAAACAAUUCAAAAAUGCCAUCUAAUGCAUUAUGCCACUGAGCACUGUAGCCAGUGAUUUUAAGUGUACUAGAUUAUCUUCAGGUUGAAAAGAGCGUAAGCUGGAGAAAUAAAUGUCUACAUCUUAGCUAAAGGCAGGGGUCAAAACAACUUAUGAAUGGUUAGUUUGAAAAUGCUUUAAGGCCCGACUAUCAGAGCUGACUGAAAACAUUUGAGUUAGGCAGAGUUGUAAUGUUAUGUGAAUAGUGAGAAGUGUUACAAACACAGUAGCCAUAUAUUUUAAUUACAAUAGAGUUUAUUAGCUUUUCUUUUAAUAUAAACAUGAGGAAGCAAAACCACAUAAGUUGUAGCAUUCUUUUCAAAAUAAAACUGCAAUCAGUACUUGAAUUUCCAAGCUCCAAACUCCAUAAACAAUAUUUUUUGAGGUGGUAGAUUGUAGUAUUUUAUAUACCAUAAUUUAUCAUUUAUGUCUCUGUCCCUUAAAAAUGAUGGAACCUGCAGCACUCAGUAUAAUGUGAAGCCUUGCGAUAAAGAGAGAAAGUACUUCUGGCCCAGAAAUGCUUUGUUUACAGGCAAAAUUCCUAGGAUUACAUUUGAGAAGGUAGGAGGAGAAAGAUUUCACAUAGUUGAGAACACUUUUUUUUUUUUAAUAUUUCAAGUUUAGGUGACAUUGUUACCAAUCUCCAAAAAGACUGAUUACUGGACCUCCCUGCCUUUUAAAGCCUGAGGCCACCCACAAAGACAGGUUCACUGUCAAGCGGGCACUUCGAGAGUCUGCUGGAAUUACCUCUCUGGCUCAUCCUGCUUCCCACCCUUGGGGCCCUUCACCAGAGCCAGAUUGGAAGCCUGGCGUUUCAUGCCAAUGUGAGCGUGCCAUCUGUGAGCAGAACCUGCCUAGUUAACUCAAGGCCCCACAAAGUGCCGCUGUGUUUGCUGAGUGCCCUGGGUGAGGCCCCAGGGAUGCUUCCCGGACUACCUGAGAGGUUCUACAAAGACUUUGCUCAGCCAAGCCAAGGCCAGAGGCCAGGUCACAGUUAGUCCCCAGUCCUUCUGUGGCAUGAACUUGAAGAUAAAAACUGGUGGUCAAGAGAGCCUCCCAGUGGCUGCUGCGUGGCACAGCAGGACAGGCAGUCCAAAGGGGCUUGACAGCUAGCUGUCAAGUAUUCCCAUAUUUUAGUGCCUUUUUAAGGAACACACAUGCAUACAAAGGGUAGUCCUUUUCAUAUCCCCAAUUUUUCACAUCUCCAUUAUCAUUUCAUUAUUCAUUUCUGUCUUACAUAAUCUGCAGCUUAGUCAAUUCUUUUGGUUUUAAGGUGGGAAGACCUGCCUGUGUCUGUAUCCCUGGGGCUCCUCUAAACCUGCCGGUUUGUGAGAUGAUUUCAUGGUUUCUUUUACAUGUAUCAAAUGUCUACCCUACAAAGAACUGGAUGGAGUUAACAGCUGAGCAAAGAUUAGAGAGGAACCUACUUUCAUUUGGGAAAAACAGGACCAUACCAUGUGUACAAGACAGAAAUUUCUACAGAUGCUUUACGAAAGAAAAAAUAUCUUACCAAAGUUAUUACUGCAGUUUCAGCAGUUAGAUGUGUGGCACUACAAAGAGUAUAAACAAAUCUGUAAAUGACUUUGUGUUCAGGAUCAUGCUCGAAGUAUUCCUCUGGAACCUUUUCUCGCUGAAAGGAGAAAAAAUGCAAUUUAUGUAUCCAUGGAAGAAAAAUACUUAAAAGUACCCUUAAGAUAGCAGUCUUCACACUUGGGCCCACGUGCCCCUUAAAAUAAUUUUGGUUGGGUGACAUGUCUUGUAGUCUUUUAAAUAUAAACAAUGGGAUCCUAAAAUACCACAGUGAUCCAGUACUCACCACCAUUCAUUAAAGAAAAAUACAGGCACAACCGCAGAAAAUUUAUGUAUUUCCACGUUCCUCCCCACAGAAUUCUAACCAAAUGUAAACUAUUGGGUUGGCCAAAAAGUUCAUUUGGUUUUAAGUAAAAAUAAAAGACACAGUUUUCAUUUUCACCAAGCAUUUUAUUAAACAAUAUAUUCACUAACCAAACAAACUUUUUGGCCAACCCAAUAUUUUUAGGCUCAAAAGUCUUGCUGAUCACCAUAUGUCAUACUUUUCUGUCAUCAACUUUGAAAACACAUUUCCAGUGUCCUGUAACCAUAAGGCUCGAAGAAUGUGCUGUCCUGUACAGCAGUCGCCAGCCACGUGUGGCUACAGAGCACCCGAAGAAGUGAAUUUUAAAACUUUGUCAUUUUAAUUCGUUUAAAAUUUAAACAGUUUUCUAAUUUUCUUCUUAGAGGCCUUAUCAUAUUAGGUUUAUUUACAAAUAUUUAUAUUGUUUGAUGCUAUGGAAAAUCAUCCUUUAAAAAGAUACAUUUUCUGUUACUUGGGUAUGUUUACUUACCUGCUCACUAUUCAUACAAAGUGCAACUCGGUUCAUAUCCAUCAACCCCUUAUACAACACGCCUUCGGGAAAAUGACUAGACACAACAUGGCGUGGGGAAGAAGACUUAAAGGAAGAUGAAUUUGACUUCGAGCUGGAGGAAGUAAUUUUCUUCUAGUACUUAAUUUCAAAGCAAAUCAGCAUGAAAUAAACACAACUGUAUAAGAGAAAAAUACCACUUCAAUAAAACUGACACUUACUGUGA
Long non-coding RNA from Balaenoptera acutorostrata (minke whale), 2898 nucleotides. RefSeq lists it as uncharacterized. The record is from RefSeq and is a predicted model, not a curated record. NCBI's taxonomy places the organism in Eukaryota, Metazoa, Chordata, Mammalia, Artiodactyla, Balaenopteridae. The transcript has 5 exons.